UAGUCCACGCCGUAAACGAUGAUUACUGGUUGUAGGCGAUACAUUGUCUGUGACUGAGCGAAAGUAUUAAGUAAUCCACCUGGGGAGUACGUCGGCAACGAUGAAACUCAAAGGAAUUGACGGGGGCCCGCACAAGCGGAGGAACAUGUGGUUUAAUUCGAUGAUACGCGAGGAACCUUACCUGGACUUAAAUGUAGAUUGCAUAGAGUGGAGACAUUCUUUUCUUCGGACUAUCUACAAGGUGCUGCAUGGUUGUCGUCAGCUCGUGCCGUGAGGUGUCGGGUUAAGUCCCAUAACGAGCGCAACCCCUAUCGUUAGUUGCUAGCAGGUAAUGCUGAGAACUCUAGCGAGACUGCCACCGUAAGGUGUGAGGAAGGUGGGGAUGACGUCAAAUCAGCACGGCCCUUACGUCCAGGGCUACACACGUGUUACAAUGGCAGGUACAAAGGGCAGCUACAUAGCGAUAUGAUGCUAAUCUCAAAAACCUGUCUCAGUUCGG
Molecule: ribosomal RNA, 499 nt
Filed under: uncultured bacterium
Lineage: Bacteria
Description: bacterial SSU rRNA
Rfam family: Bacterial small subunit ribosomal RNA
Source: RNAcentral